UACGUAGGGACCAAGCGUUGUCCGGAAUCAUUGGGCGUAAAGAGCGUGUAGGCGGCCGUACAGGUCAGCUGUGAAAACUCGAGGCUCAACCUCGAGACGUCGGUUGAAACCGUACGGCUAGAGUCCGGAAGAGGAGAGUGGAAUUCCCGGUGUAGCGGUGAAAUGCGCAGAUAUCGGGAAGAACACCCGUGGCGAAGGCGGCUCUCUGGGACGGUACUGACGCUGAGACGCGAAAGCGUGGGGAGCGAACAGG
This 253-nucleotide ribosomal RNA is filed under the name uncultured bacterium. Its description in RNAcentral is "partial 16S ribosomal RNA". It matches the Rfam family "Bacterial small subunit ribosomal RNA", at positions 524 to 776 of the family's 1533-position model. The record is from RNAcentral.